UUGAAUAAACUUGAAGCAGGUUGUUGCUGGUCUCUAGAGGCAUGUGCACACUUGCUACAUCUUUGUUAUUUCUCCAACUUGUGCAUCAUAUUUGGGACUGCUGUGCUUUUGUUUAGUUCGGCUUUCCCUUUUUUAUUAUUUACAAUCACAUGUUGAAUGUAUGAAAGAAAAGAAAAAAAAAUAUA
This 185-nucleotide unclassified non-coding RNA is filed under the name uncultured Agaricales. RNAcentral describes it as "sequence contains ITS1". The record is from RNAcentral. Lineage: Eukaryota; Fungi; Basidiomycota; Agaricomycetes; Agaricales.